AUUGAACGCUGGCGGCAUGCCUUACACAUGCAAGUCGAACGGCAGCACGGGUGCUUGCACCUGGUGGCGAGUGGCGAACGGGUGAGUAAUACAUCGGUACAUGUCCUGUAGUGGGGGAAAGCCCGGCGAAAGCCGGGUUAAUACCCCAUACGAUCUACGGACGAAAGCGGGGGGCCUUCGGACCUCGCGCGGUAGGGUUGGCCGUUGCGUGAUUAGCUCGUUGGUGGGGUAAAGGCCUACCACGGCGACGAUCAGUAGCUGGUCUGAGAGGAGGAUCAGCGACACUAGAACUGAACCACGGCCAAGACGCCUACGAGAGGCAGCAGUCGGGAACUGUGGACAAUGGGCGAAAGCCUGAUCCAGUAAGGCCGCGUGUGUGACAGAGGCCUUCGGGGUGGAAAGCACGCUUUCGCGGAAAGAACUCCUUGGGCCUAUGACGGUCGGUGGAUGACGGUACCGGAAGAAGAAGCACCGGCUAACUACGUG
Molecule: ribosomal RNA, 486 nt
Filed under: uncultured bacterium
Lineage: Bacteria
Description: partial 16S ribosomal RNA
Rfam family: Bacterial small subunit ribosomal RNA
Source: RNAcentral